UAAGGAAUAUUGGUCAAUGGGCGCAAGCCUGAACCAGCCAUGCCGCGUGCAGGAAGACGGCCCUAUGGGUUGUAAACUGCUUUUAUCAGGGAAUAAACCCCCGCUCGUGAGCGGGGCUGAAGGUACCUGAAGAAUAAGCAUCGGCUAACUCCAUGCCAGCAGCCGCGGUAAUACGGAGGAUGCAAGCGUUAUCCGGAUUCAUUGGGUUUAAAGGGUGCGCAGGCGGAUUGGUAAGUCAGGGGUGAAAUCCCACAGCUCAACUGUGGAACUGCCUUUGAUGCUGUCAGUCUAGAGUAUAGUUGAAGUGGGCGGAAUGUGUCAUGUAGCGGUGAAAUGCUUAGAUAUGACACAGAACACCGAUCGCGAAGGCAGCUCGCUAAGCUAUAACUGACGCUCAUGCACGAAAGCGUGGGGAUCAAACAG
This 423-nucleotide ribosomal RNA is filed under the name uncultured bacterium. RNAcentral describes it as "bacterial SSU rRNA". It matches the Rfam family "Bacterial small subunit ribosomal RNA", at positions 355 to 775 of the family's 1533-position model. The record is from RNAcentral.